CCUACGGGGUGCAGCAGUAGGGAAUCUUCCACAAUGGGCGAAAGCCUGAUGGAGCAACGCCGCGUGGGUGAAGAAGGUCUUCGGAUCGUAAAACCCUGUUGUUAGAGAAGAAAGUGCGUGAGAGUAACUGUUCACGUUUCGACGGUAUCUAACCAGAAAGCCACGGCUAACUACGUGCCAGCAACCGCGGUAAUACGUAGGUGGCAAGCGUUAUCCGGAUUUAUUGGGCGUAAAGGGAACGCAGGCGGUCUUUUAAGUCUGAUGUGAAAGCCUUCGGCUUAACCGGAGUAGUGCAUUGGAAACUGGGAGACGUGAGUGCAGAAGAGGAGAGUGGAACUCCAUGUGUAGCGGUGAAAUGCGUAGAUAUAUGGAAGAACACCAGUGGCGAAAGCGGCUCUCUGGUCUGUAACUGACGCUGAGGUUCGAAAGCGUGGGUAGCAAACAGGAUUAGAUACCCUUGUAGUC
This 465-nucleotide ribosomal RNA is filed under the name uncultured bacterium. RNAcentral describes it as "partial 16S ribosomal RNA". It matches the Rfam family "Bacterial small subunit ribosomal RNA", at positions 338 to 795 of the family's 1533-position model. The record is from RNAcentral.